Molecule: transfer RNA, 67 nt
Filed under: Deronectes bicostatus
Lineage: Eukaryota; Metazoa; Arthropoda; Insecta; Coleoptera; Dytiscidae
Also listed under: 4 other names
Description: tRNA-Trp
Source: RNAcentral
AAGGAUUUAAGUUAAAAAAACUCACAACCUUCAAAGUUGUAAAUAAAGGAAAGAGCUUUAAGCCUUA